CCUACGGGAGGCAGCAGUCGAGAAUAUUCGACAAUGGGCGAAAGCCUGAUCGAGCGACGCCGCGUGUAUGCCGAUGCUCUUCCCAGUGUUCCGUACCUAAAUCGGGGAAGAAGUUAUUGACGGUACCCGAUGAACAAGGGGAUGCUAAUCACGUGCCAGCAGCCGCGGUAAUAAUCA
Molecule: ribosomal RNA, 177 nt
Filed under: uncultured bacterium
Lineage: Bacteria
Description: partial 16S ribosomal RNA
Rfam family: Bacterial small subunit ribosomal RNA
Source: RNAcentral